UUGCAUUUGUCCUUCUGAAUUGCAUUUGCCCUUCUGGAACUGUGUAACAGAACAGAAAGAGAUUCUCUAAGCUCCAUCCUGUAAAAGUAAACAGCAAGCUCAUUCUGGGAAAAGUUCAACCAUCUUGUCAAGUUGUUGUGAAUAUUGCAAGACCUUUACAAGAAUUGAAAUAUUGUAUAUCUGUUCCAAGGAGUAAGAUGGGUGUGGCUCAUUGACAGAGCUCAGAGUUAAGUAGGGAAAACAACCUUGGUGCUGGUGGCAUGUUGCUAGCAGUGGAUGCAUUGAAAGGAGAAGUCCGGCUGUUGGGAAAAUGAUAAAAAGGUUUGAGAUUCUCUUCUAAAAGAAGUUCAGUGUCUGUUUUUACUCUGCCAGUGCAGAAAACUUGGUUGCUCCAAAAGAGAUGAAAUCUGGAACCUCAGAAUGGAGAGAUUGACUAUCUCCCAGUGUGGCUGACUGAGUAUGUUUUAAAUUGCAGAUGGUUCUGUACAGAGCUUUGACCUUAUUCAAGGCAAAGGAUGGCUCCAUCACAACUGGAGCAGAGGCCAGCUCAGUUUGGUGCAUCCUGGUCUAGCUCAAAGACUAUUUAUGUAGGGAGGGCAAACAUUGAUGAUCCCUUCAAGCUUUUUAUGAAAUGUCCUCUUUUAUAAACAUGGCACUUAGAGAAGGAAGGAGGAAUGUUUGCCUUUUUUUUUUUUAGUAGGAUCCCUUUUUUUGUGACUUCUUUAUAUGGGCAUCUGUUGAAUACCUUGUGGUUAGCCACUAUCGGAUUCUGAACUUGGUCCAUCAUCCUGGCUUUGACAUUUGGCAAUGGGAUCUGAGGUUUCAUAUUUAGCUGCCUAUUUCCACCCUUACCUCAUCCGCACUUAAGCUGAUCCCCUUUGCACAUCUAAGGUGCUGCUGCUGUUUCCAAUUUUUGCAUGCUCUGUGUUUUAAAUCUUAAGACUCUAUUGGGUCACCAGAAUUAAGUGUGAUGGGUGAGCCUGACUGAUGAAAGCAGUGGAGAGGAGAGUCUUCAUGGGUGAAGUAGUGAAGAAGGUGAUUUGGAAAGGCUAGUUAAAUUUCGGGGGGCGGGUCUGUCUUAAAGUACCACAGCAAGCGCAGUUGUUUGGAGAAUAUGCCCUAUACCAUCUCCUCAAAUCAUGAACAGGAAGAAUGCUCAAAGCAACAAUUUAGUUGUGUAAACUGGAGGAAGAAAAUUGAGUGGCAAACGAGGUAAGGGAGGGGUGAACAAUGCCACCAGAAGACGCCUUUCCUUUGGAUAAAAGGAUACUAAACCUAAAAUAGUAAAAACAGGUGAGAGAGGAUCAAAGAGAGAAACAGAAAAGGUGGAAAUGAUUUAUUUCAAUUUGACAGCAGUCAGCCUGGAGUGAGAGACUGCCUGAUCAGAUGCCAAGAGAACUGGACAACUUGGGUCAGCCAUCUAGGAAGGUUCCCAAAUUUCAGCCAAUGAAAAUACAGGAAGGGAAUUGCUAUGUUAGGAUUUGUCCUUGGGCAUGUAGACUAUAUUCUGUAAUUAAAGAUGAUCAUCUUUCCUGCCUAGUUCAAUGUCUCCCGCUCC
Non-coding RNA from Chelonoidis abingdonii (Abingdon island giant tortoise), 1558 nucleotides. Lineage: Eukaryota; Metazoa; Chordata; Testudines; Testudinidae. The record is from RefSeq and is a predicted model, not a curated record.